This 82-nucleotide transfer RNA is filed under the name Anneissia japonica. RNAcentral's name for it is "tRNA-Ser". It matches the Rfam family "tRNA". Rfam says of the family: Transfer RNA (tRNA) molecules are approximately 80 nucleotides in length. Their secondary structure includes four short double-helical elements and three loops (D, anti-codon, and T loops). Lineage: Eukaryota; Metazoa; Echinodermata; Crinoidea; Comatulida; Comatulidae. The record is from RNAcentral.
GCUGUGAUGGCCGAGUGGUUAAGGCGUUGGACUCGAAAUCCAAUGGGAUCUUCCCGCGCAGUUUCGAACCCUGCUCGCAGCG